AUGGGCGCAGCCUGAUCAGCAUACCGCGUGUGUGAAGAAGGCCUGAGGGUUGUAAAGCACUUUUAAUCGGGAGGAACACCUGUCGGCCAAUACCCGGCAGCUUGACAUUACCUAUAGAAAAAGCACCGGCUAACUCCGUGCCAGCAGCCGCGGUAAUUAGGAGGGUGCCAGCGUUAAUCGGAAUUACUGGGCGUAAAGCGUGCGUAGGCGGCCGUUUAAGUCAGAUGUGAAAGCCCCGGGCUUAACCU
This 248-nucleotide ribosomal RNA is filed under the name uncultured type I methanotroph. RNAcentral's name for it is "partial 16S ribosomal RNA". It matches the Rfam family "Bacterial small subunit ribosomal RNA", at positions 371 to 615 of the family's 1533-position model. The record is from RNAcentral. Lineage: Bacteria; Pseudomonadati; Pseudomonadota; Gammaproteobacteria; Methylococcales; Methylococcaceae.